This 499-nucleotide ribosomal RNA is filed under the name uncultured bacterium. Its description in RNAcentral is "bacterial SSU rRNA". It matches the Rfam family "Bacterial small subunit ribosomal RNA", at positions 28 to 526 of the family's 1533-position model. The record is from RNAcentral.
GAUGAACGCUGGCGGCGUGCCUAACACAUGCAAGUCGAACGGAGUUUUUAGAGGAGGCCUUUCGGGGUGGAACCUUUGAACUUAGUGGCGGACGGGUGAGUAACGCGUGAGCAAUCUGCCUUCAAGAGGGGGACAACAGCUGGAAACGGCUGCUAAUACCGCAUAACAUAUAUUUGUGGCAUCACAGAUAUAUCAAAGGAGAAAUCCGCUUGAAGAUGAGCUCGCGUCCCAUUAGAUAGUUGGCGGGGUAGAGGCCCACCAAGGCGACGAUGGGUAGCCGGACUGAGAGGUUGAACGGCCACAUUGGGACUGAGACACGGCCCAGACUCCUACGGGAGGCAGCAGUGGGGAAUAUUGGGCAAUGGGCGAAAGCCUGACCCAGCGACGCCGCGUGGAGGAAGAAGGUUUUCGGAUUGUAAACUCCUGUCUUCGGGGAAGAUAAUGACGGUACCCGAGGAGGAAGCCACGGCUAACUACGUGCCAGCAGCCGCAGUAAAAC